This is a long non-coding RNA of Cyprinus carpio carpio, 1270 nucleotides long. NCBI's taxonomy places the organism in Eukaryota, Metazoa, Chordata, Actinopteri, Cypriniformes, Cyprinidae. The record is from Ensembl.
UGGUUAAUGAAUGAUUUAUUACUCUUGACCAAUAGGUGGCGCUGUUACCAAAUUGAUGUGGCAUGGUCAGUCUGAGGUGACAAUGGCACAUACAAAGUUUGGUACAAAUAUGUCAAAGCUUUGCCGAGAUACAGCCUCAGAUGUAUUUUGGCAUCUUACGAACAAAUUCGUUGAUGCGCUAAACGAAAACCGUUUUGUAUAUCAACACAAAAUCCAUAACUUUUUGUCAGCUUGGUCUGAAGAUGAUCUGAACCAAAUUUGGUGAAAAUCGGACUAACGGUCUAGGAGGAGUUCGAAAAAGUAGGUUUUCAACUUUAAUCAAAAUGGCCGACAGGAAGUAUGGCCAAUUUUGGAAUAAUUGGUAUCGAUGUUCUCAGCAUCACCCAAAGAAUAUAUCGACAUGACUUUCAUUGCAAUAGUCUAAUUUUUUCAAAAGUUAUUAGCAUUUUUAAGAUAUUUCAUUAUAACUGUUGACCACAAGGUGGCGCUGCCACCAAACUUUUUGAGUAGCUUCAGGGCAUGGAGCCAAACAUUUUUGUAAUUAUUUUCGUAGCGAUACGAUAAUGCAUUCAAAAAAUACAGCAUUUUGAAACAUAAUUCAAAAUGGCCGACACCUAAAAUGGAUGACACGGGAAAAUUGGAUAUCAUUCGACUCGGCAUGACCCACCGAAUACAAAGAGACUAGUUUUGUGAUUUUUGGUCAAACCAUUCAGAAGUUAUAAGCAAAAAUAUGCAUUUUUCAUAUCUCCUGACCACUAGGUGGCACUACGUCGAAACACUGCAGGUAGUCUCAGGUCAUGCUUAUUAUAACACACACCAAGUUUGGUCUCAAUAUGCCAAACCGUUGCGGAGUUAUAGCCUCACAAGCAUUUUUGCGUGCUUUUCGUAGAAUUUGUUCGCGUGGUAUUCGAGAACGGUUGGACGAAUCAACUUGAAUUCCAUAACUUUUUGCCAGCAUGGUCUGAAGAUGAUCUGAGCCAAUUUUCGUGAAAAUCGGACUAACCGUCUAGGACGAGUUCGAAAAAGUAGGUUUUUCGAACAAUUGAAAAUAGCGAAAAAACUAAACCUUGCGAUUUUUGAAUUUCGGGGUUCAUUCGACUUGGCCUGAGCUAAGGAUUCAGAGGAAAAAAGAAUUUUCAUUUUGUGGCUUACGGUUCAAAAGUUAUUAGCAUAAAAAUAUUGAAAUUUUGGACAAGUGGUGGCGCUAGAGAGUAGGAGAUAGAGACUUCAAAUUUGCUAUAGUUAGUGCUGGGACUGUCCUCUAUCAGUG